This 500-nucleotide ribosomal RNA is filed under the name uncultured Glomeromycotina. Its description in RNAcentral is "partial small subunit ribosomal RNA". It matches the Rfam family "Eukaryotic small subunit ribosomal RNA", at positions 591 to 1092 of the family's 1831-position model. The record is from RNAcentral. Lineage: Eukaryota; Fungi; Glomeromycota.
CCAAUAGCGUAUAUUAAAGUUGUUGCAGUUAAAAAGCUCGUAGUUGAAUUUCGGGGUCAGUAGAUUGGUCAUGCCACUGGUAUGUACUGGUCUCACUGAUUCCUCCUUCCUGAUGAGCCGUAAUGCCAUUAAUUUGGUGUUGCGAGGGAUCUGGACUGUUACUUUGAAAAAAUUAGAGUGUUUAAAGCAGGCUAACGCUUGAAUACAUUAGCAUGGAAUAAUGAAAUAGGACGUUCGAUCUUAUUUUGUUGGUUUCUAAGAUUGACGUAAUGAUUAAUAGGGAUAGUUGGGGGCAUUAGUAUUCAAUUGUCAGAGGUGAAAUUCUUGGAUUUAUUGAGGACUAACUACUGCGAAAGCAUUUGCCAAGGAUGUUUUCAUUAAUCAAGAACGAAAGUUAGGGGAUCGAAGACGAUCAGAUACCGUCGUAGUCUUAACCAUAAACUAUGCCGACUAGGGAUCGGAUGAUGUUAAUUUUUUAAUGACUCAUUCGGCGCCUUACG